RNAcentral lists this ribosomal RNA (2918 nucleotides) under Pseudomonas congelans. RNAcentral describes it as "bacterial LSU rRNA". It matches the Rfam family "Bacterial large subunit ribosomal RNA". Lineage: Bacteria; Pseudomonadati; Pseudomonadota; Gammaproteobacteria; Pseudomonadales; Pseudomonadaceae. The record is from RNAcentral.
GUUAUAUGGUCAAGUGAAGAAGCGCAUACGGUGGAUGCCUUGGCAGUCAGAGGCGAUGAAAGACGUGGUAGCCUGCGAAAAGCUUCGGGGAGUCGGCAAACAGACUGUGAUCCGGAGAUGUCUGAAUGGGGGAACCCAGCCAUCAUAAGAUGGUUAUCUUGUACUGAAUACAUAGGUGCAAGAGGCGAACCAGGGGAACUGAAACAUCUAAGUACCCUGAGGAAAAGAAAUCAACCGAGAUUCCCUUAGUAGUGGCGAGCGAACGGGGACCAGCCCUUAAGUUGUAUUGAGAUUAGCGGAACACUCUGGAAAGGGUGGCCAUAGUGGGUGAUAGCCCUGUACGCGAAAAUCCCUUUGCAAUGAAAUCGAGUAGGACGGGGCACGAGAAACCUUGUCUGAAUAUGGGGGGACCAUCCUCCAAGGCUAAAUACUACUGACUGACCGAUAGUGAACCAGUACCGUGAGGGAAAGGCGAAAAGAACCGCGGAGAGCGGAGUGAAAUAGAUCCUGAAACCGUAUGCGUACAAGCAGUGGGAGCCCACUUUGUUGGGUGACUGCGUACCUUUUGUAUAAUGGGUCAGCGACUUAUUUUCAGUGGCGAGCUUAACCGAAUAGGGGAGGCGUAGCGAAAGCGAGUCUUAAUAGGGCGUCUAGUCGCUGGGAAUAGACCCGAAACCGGGCGAUCUAUCCAUGGGCAGGUUGAAGGUUGGGUAACACUAACUGGAGGACCGAACCGACUACCGUUGAAAAGUUAGCGGAUGACCUGUGGAUCGGAGUGAAAGGCUAAUCAAGCUCGGAGAUAGCUGGUUCUCCUCGAAAGCUAUUUAGGUAGCGCCUCAUGUAUCACUGUAGGGGGUAGAGCACUGUUUCGGCUAGGGGGUCAUCCCGACUUACCAAACCGAUGCAAACUCCGAAUACCUACAAGUGCCGAGCAUGGGAGACACACGGCGGGUGCUAACGUCCGUCGUGAAAAGGGAAACAACCCAGACCGUCAGCUAAGGUCCCAAAGUCAUGGUUAAGUGGGAAACGAUGUGGGAAGGCUUAGACAGCUAGGAGGUUGGCUUAGAAGCAGCCACCCUUUAAAGAAAGCGUAAUAGCUCACUAGUCGAGUCGGCCUGCGCGGAAGAUGUAACGGGGCUCAAACCAUGCACCGAAGCUACGGGUAUCAUCUUAGGAUGAUGCGGUAGAGGAGCGUUCUGUAAGCCUGUGAAGGUGAGUUGAGAAGCUUGCUGGAGGUAUCAGAAGUGCGAAUGCUGACAUGAGUAACGACAAUGGGUGUGAAAAACACCCACGCCGAAAGACCAAGGUUUCCUGCGCAACGUUAAUCGACGCAGGGUUAGUCGGUCCCUAAGGCGAGGCUGAAAAGCGUAGUCGAUGGAAAACAGGUUAAUAUUCCUGUACUUCUGGUUAUUGCGAUGGAGGGACGGAGAAGGCUAGGCCAGCCUGGCGUUGGUUGUCCAGGUUUAAGGUGGUAGGCUGAGAUCUUAGGUAAAUCCGGGAUCUCAAGGCCGAGAGCUGAUGACGAGUGUUCUUUUAGAACACGAAGUGGUUGAUGCCAUGCUUCCAAGAAAAGCUUCUAAGCUUCAGGUAACCAGGAACCGUACCCCAAACCGACACAGGUGGUUGGGUAGAGAAUACCAAGGCGCUUGAGAGAACUCGGGUGAAGGAACUAGGCAAAAUGGCACCGUAACUUCGGGAGAAGGUGCGCCGGUGGAGGUGAAGCAUUUACUGCGUAAGCCCCUGCCGGUCGAAGAUACCAGGCCGCUGCGACUGUUUAUUAAAAACACAGCACUCUGCAAACACGAAAGUGGACGUAUAGGGUGUGACGCCUGCCCGGUGCCGGAAGGUUAAUUGAUGGGGUUAGCGCAAGCGAAGCUCUUGAUCGAAGCCCCGGUAAACGGCGGCCGUAACUAUAACGGUCCUAAGGUAGCGAAAUUCCUUGUCGGGUAAGUUCCGACCUGCACGAAUGGCGUAACGAUGGCGGCGCUGUCUCCACCCGAGACUCAGUGAAAUUGAAAUCGCUGUGAAGAUGCAGUGUAUCCGCGGCUAGACGGAAAGACCCCGUGAACCUUUACUAUAGCUUUGCACUGGACUUUGAAUUUGCUUGUGUAGGAUAGGUGGGAGGCUUUGAAGCGUGGACGCCAGUCUGCGUGGAGCCAACCUUGAAAUACCACCCUGGCAACUUUGAGGUUCUAACUCAGGUCCGUUAUCCGGAUCGAGGACAGUGUAUGGUGGGUAGUUUGACUGGGGCGGUCUCCUCCUAAAGAGUAACGGAGGAGUACGAAGGUGCGCUCAGACCGGUCGGAAAUCGGUCGUAGAGUAUAAAGGCAAAAGCGCGCUUGACUGCGAGACAGACACGUCGAGCAGGUACGAAAGUAGGUCUUAGUGAUCCGGUGGUUCUGUAUGGAAGGGCCAUCGCUCAACGGAUAAAAGGUACUCCGGGGAUAACAGGCUGAUACCGCCCAAGAGUUCAUAUCGACGGCGGUGUUUGGCACCUCGAUGUCGGCUCAUCACAUCCUGGGGCUGAAGCCGGUCCCAAGGGUAUGGCUGUUCGCCAUUUAAAGUGGUACGCGAGCUGGGUUUAGAACGUCGUGAGACAGUUCGGUCCCUAUCUGCCGUGGACGUUUGAGAUUUGAGAGGGGCUGCUCCUAGUACGAGAGGACCGGAGUGGACGAACCUCUGGUGUUCCGGUUGUCACGCCAGUGGCAUUGCCGGGUAGCUAUGUUCGGAAAAGAUAACCGCUGAAAGCAUCUAAGCGGGAAACUUGCCUCAAGAUGAGAUCUCACUGGAACCUUGAGUUCCCUAAAGGGCCGUCGAAGACUACGACGUUGAUAGGUUGGGUGUGUAAGCGCUGUGAGGCGUUGAGCUAACCAAUACUAAUUGCCCGUGAGGCUUGACCAUAUAACACCCAAGCAAUU